AUUGAACGCUAGCGGGAUGCCUUACACAUGCAAGUCGAACGGCAGCGCGGACUUCGGUCUGGCGGCGAGUGGCGAACGGGUGAGUAAUGCAUCGGAACGUGCCCAGUAGCGGGGGAUAACUACUCGAAAGAGUAGCUAAUACCGCGUACGCCCUACGGGGGAAAGGGGGGGACCGCAAGACCUCUCACUAUUGGCCCGGCCGAUAUCGGAUUAGCUAGUUGGUGAGGUAAAGGCUCACCAAGGCGACGAUCCGUAGCUGGUUUGAGAGGACGACCAGCCACACUGGGACUGAGACACGGCCCAGACUCCUACGGGAGGCAGCAGUGGGGAAUUUUGGACAAUGGGGGCAACCCUGAUCCAGCCGUUCCGCGUGUGCGAUGAAGGCCUUCGGGUUGUAAAGCACUUUUGGCAGGAAAGAAAUCGCACGGAUUAAUACUCUGUGUGGAUGACGGUACCUGCAGAAUAAGCACCGGCUAACUACGUGCCAGCCGCCGCGGUAA
This 500-nucleotide ribosomal RNA is filed under the name uncultured bacterium. Its description in RNAcentral is "partial 16S ribosomal RNA". It matches the Rfam family "Bacterial small subunit ribosomal RNA", at positions 30 to 523 of the family's 1533-position model. The record is from RNAcentral.